Molecule: long non-coding RNA, 2158 nt
Organism: Aedes albopictus (Asian tiger mosquito)
Lineage: Eukaryota; Metazoa; Arthropoda; Insecta; Diptera; Culicidae
Exons: 3
Source: RefSeq, a predicted model, not a curated record
UGUAAAAAUUUUGCUGGUGACGACUCCCCCGAGGCGUCAUCCAUUCAUAAAACAUGAAUGAAGGUUCAUGAUUGAGUCAUUUUAUGUAAACAUUGAUCGGCGUCGCGUUCAUUUCUCCCCGAAAUUGAGAGGUGACGGUGGCACAGCAGCGCCACCAUGACACUUGCGAGCACAGUCCAAACCACACUAUAUUUUCAAAAUGACCGUUAAAUCGUGCGAUGAUUUCGAUUUGAGUAGUAUGUCUGUUUGUCUGUGCUUAAACACUUUAUUGACGUCAAUGCGUUCGACAUGAUAUUUUGGACAAAAACUGAUUGUUUCUAAGCUGAAGGACGUAACUUUUGUAUGACUAGGAGAGAAAAUGACAUGGUUUAUCUUGCUAGGACAAAUGAACGGAUUGGCUCUGUUGUAAUAGUUAGGUUGUUUUCGUAUCUCGUAUCAUUGGAAACUCAUGACAUGUUCAAAACUAGUGUCUAUCAUUGGGGAUGGCGCCAGUGCUGUAGGUGGCUACCAACAUAGGUGUUAUCGCAGUAAAGGUUGUUGUCUUCAAUUGGUAUUUGACCGUAAUUAAUUCGAUUAUACAUUUUACAUAAUAUUUCUUAGAGAUAGCAUAAGCACAGUUGUCAACAUAGACAGCAUUUUGUGUUAUGUUAUUUCCAAGAAGUAAUAGCAAGGGUAUAAACAUUCCUGGUGCUUCAGGUUCCGCGGGUAAAGAUCCAUUCUGAUAGCUUCACAGACUUCACUUGACUGAGGACGGACAUGACUAAUACAUCUACGGGAGGGAAAAUACAAAAUUUUGAUUAAAACUACUUGGGCACAAUGUGAAAACUAGUGUUAAAUUGGGCAACAUACACUGCAAAAUAUUUUUGCUGGUAAUCAGCAAACUUUGCUGAUUUUUGGCGUGCUGAUUGCAUUCAGCAAUACAAAUUACUGAGUAUCAGCAAUUAUUUUUCAACUUGCUGAACCACCCGCAUAGAAAUUAACCACUUUCAGAACAGUUCGAACAACAAUGCGGACGUUCACAAUAUGGUUACCAUAUCUCAAUAUGGUGUGCAAAUAGUUCACACAUUAUGGUAGAACAAUACCCGUAUCAAACAUAGUACCGUUACCGUUCUGAUUGAUGUUCAGGUAUUUUUCGACAGUAGACAGAUUUGUGGACCAUAAGAAAACAUAGUCCUACCAUAAUGGCUACUGUUACCACGCCGAGGCCGAACGCAAACGUCAAUCAGUCGUUUUCUUUUCAACAAACAAAGUGCCAAUUCACAUUUGGCAUCUAAUUAAGCCGGAAAACAGAUAAAUAUUAUUUAAAAGCGGAUACCUCCAACAGCGCCUCUAAUCCCGCUGCUGUGCUGUUUCAUGCUUGGUUUCAAAACGCGACCUGAUUUUCCGGAACAACUCGCCGUGAAACUAAACAGUAAAAGUGUGGAAGUUGAUCCGGAUUUCCCCAGAUACAAUUAGUGUGGCACCGCUAACAACAGUGAGCUGGACAUCUGGAUGUUGCUUCAUAAGAAUUCAGGAUUUAUUGUCCAGCCGCAACCGUAUAAACCAAGGUAUCAACACAAAAUCUAAGCAUCCGGCAAGCCAUCCAGCUAGGAAUCCGACGAAAAUGUGUCGCAGCAAAGUGUCUUAUAUCAUCGCAAGUGAUUAGAUUACUCAUCCUUCCGAGCGUACUCCCGGCUACAAAUGCGGUUGUGGAAUGUUCCUUCAAGUUAUCGGGUCUACAUGUGAAGCUCAGCCAGAGUAAAAUAGGUGACAAUCAUUAUGUAUUCAGUGGUCUUAAGUGUUUAUUUGAUUGUAAUGAAAUAAAUUUUAUGAAAGUUUCACAAAAUUUUGUUUUUUUUAUUUUUUUAAAUAUGAAAUACAACUCUGAUUUGAACCAUACCACCAACUGUUAAAUUUUAUGGUACAACAAUACGUCAACCAUUAUUUCCUAUUUUGCCAUAGUGAAUGUCGACAUUACAUGCUGUGUUACCAUUAAGGUUGAAGAUCCAAUUUUGUAUGGGGAAAUUUCAAUUUUGGAAUGGUAAACAUUCUUAACAACCCGUUCCUCGUAUGGUCGGGUCUCUGAAAACAUCAAUCAGUACGGUUGAAACAUUACCCAGCAAAGGUUCAUUUAUGGUCGGAGGUACCAUAUUGAUUAUGGUAAAAAAUGAAACAUACA